RNAcentral lists this ribosomal RNA (440 nucleotides) under uncultured bacterium. RNAcentral's name for it is "partial 16S ribosomal RNA". It matches the Rfam family "Bacterial small subunit ribosomal RNA", at positions 338 to 795 of the family's 1533-position model. The record is from RNAcentral.
CCUACGGGAGGCAGCAGUGGGGAAUAUUGCACAAUGGGGGAAACCCUGAUGCAGCGACGCCGCGUGAGUGAAGAAGUAUUUCGGUAUGUAAAGCUCUAUCAGCAGGGAAGAAAAUGACGGUACCUGACUAAGAAGCCCCGGCUAACUACGUGACAGCAGCCGCGGUAAUACGUAGGGGGCAAGCGUUAUCCGGAUUUACUGGGUGUAAAGUGAGCGUAGACGGCCAGACAAGUCAGAAGUGAAAGCCCAGGGCUCAACCCUGGGACUGCUUUUGAAACUGCCGGGCUAGAGUGCAGGAGAGGUAAGCGGAAUUCCUAGUGUAGCGGUGAAAUGCGUAGAUAUUAGGAGGAACACCAGUGGCGAAGGCGGCUUACUGGACUGUAACUGACGUUGAGGCUCGAAAGCGUGGGGAGCAAACAGGAUUAGAUACCCUAGUAGUC